UACGUAGGGGGCUAGCGUUGUCCGGAAUCAUUGGGCGUAAAGGGCGCGUAGGCGGUGCGGUAAGUCACCUGUGAAAACUCUGGGCUCAACUCAGAGCCUGCAGGCGAAACUGCCGUGCUGGAGUGUGGGAGAGGUGCGUGGAAUUCCCGGUGUAGCGGAUGAAUGCGUAGAUAUCGGGAGGAACACCUGUGGCGAAAGCGGCGCACUGGACCACAACUGACGCUGAGGCGCGAAAGCUAGGGGAGCAAACAGG
Molecule: ribosomal RNA, 253 nt
Filed under: uncultured bacterium
Lineage: Bacteria
Description: partial 16S ribosomal RNA
Rfam family: Bacterial small subunit ribosomal RNA
Source: RNAcentral